This 497-nucleotide ribosomal RNA is filed under the name uncultured bacterium. RNAcentral's name for it is "partial 16S ribosomal RNA". It matches the Rfam family "Bacterial small subunit ribosomal RNA", at positions 28 to 507 of the family's 1533-position model. The record is from RNAcentral.
GAUGAACGCUGGCGGCGUGCCUAAUACAUGCAAGUCGAGCGAACAGACGAGGAGCUUGCUCCUCUGACGUUAGCGGCGGACGGGUGAGUAACACGUGGAUAACCUACCUAUAAGACUGGGAUAACUUCGGGAAACCGGAGCUAAUACCGGAUAAUAUAUUGAACCGCAUGGUUCAAUAGUGAAAGACGGUUUUGCUGUCACUUAUAGAUGGAUCCGCGCCGCAUUAGCUAGUUGGUAAGGUAACGGCUUACCAAGGCGACGAUGCGUAGCCGACCUGAGAGGGUGACCGGCCACCCUGGAACUGAGACACGGUCCAGACUCCUACGGGAGGCAGCAGUAGGGAAUCUUCCGCAAUGGGCGAAAGCCUGACGGAGCAACGCCGCGUGAGUGAUGAAGGUCUUCGGAUCGUAAAACUCUGUUAUUAGGGAAGAACAAAUGUGUAAGUAACUAUGCACGUCUUGACGGUACCUAAUCAGAAAGCCACGGCUAACUACGUG